RNAcentral lists this ribosomal RNA (497 nucleotides) under uncultured bacterium. RNAcentral's name for it is "partial 16S ribosomal RNA". It matches the Rfam family "Bacterial small subunit ribosomal RNA", at positions 28 to 507 of the family's 1533-position model. The record is from RNAcentral.
GACGAACGCUGGCGGCGUGCCUAAUACAUGCAAGUUGAGCGCUGAAGGUUGGUACUUGUACCAACUGGAUGAGCAGCGAACGGGUGAGUAACGCGUGGGGAAUCUGCCUUUGAGCGGGGGACAACAUUUGGAAACGAAUGCUAAUACCGCAUAAAAACUUUAAACACAAGUUUUAAGUUUGAAAGAUGCAAUUGCAUCACUCAAAGAUGAUCCCGCGUUGUAUUAGCUAGUUGGUGAGGUAAAGGCUCACCAAGGCGAUGAUACAUAGCCGACCUGAGAGGGUGAUCGGGCACAUUGGGACUGAGACACGGCCCAAACUCCUACGGGAGGCAGCAGUAGGGGAUCUUCGGCAAUGGACGAAAGUCUGACCGAGCAAAGCCGCGUGAGUGAAGAAGGUUUUCGGAUCGUAAAACUCUGUUGGUAGAGAAGAAAGUUGGUGAGAGUGGAAAGCUCAUCAAGUGACGGUAACUACACAGAAAGGGACGGCUAACUACGUG